UGUACAUAUAGGUCUUAUAGCUUAUAUAUCAAAAAAUGCCAAUACAUGGGACUUCCUGGUUUGGGCUCCCUCCAUGCCUCAAGAAAGGUGGGAAAAUGAUAUGAGAUUUGUAUAGCUUAUUACUCUUUGAAAGUGCAAGCGGAUUAGAAUACAUCUCAGUUUAGAUUGGAUUUAAGUGGUUGGAAUUAAAUUUUUAAACUAGUACAUUUGGAAAUUGCUUAACUUAGUUUAACUAAAUAGACCUAGCCAUAUUUUAAAAGUUGUAUAGCUAAGUAAACUUAGCCUGAAUUAGUGAAACUAUCUUGGAGUAGCAAAUCAAGCUACUAUUUGGUAGC
This 335-nucleotide long non-coding RNA is filed under the name Elaeis guineensis (African oil palm). Its description in RNAcentral is "long non-coding RNA (EGUI_LNC013003)". Lineage: Eukaryota; Viridiplantae; Streptophyta; Magnoliopsida; Arecales; Arecaceae. The record is from RNAcentral.